AUGCUGGAUCUUCACCCCCCUAUGCCCCGCCCAGCCAUCUCCUUUCCCGUUCCAAACUUAAAUGGAAACCCUAGCGCCGCCUUGGGUGGCGGCUACCUUCUCUACCCGCAGCAUCUCCGAUACCUCAUACCCUGCUCAGUCAACUCCUACAUGCGUAACCUGAACCUGAGUGUUAACCUCAGAGCCGCCUUGAGCCGCCUGCAGGAUCGCCAAUCUCCCAUGGCCAGCUCAGGCAACUACAUCCACACACUGAACCCAAACACAAACCUGAACCUGAGCGCCAACCCCAGCGCCGCCUCGCACGGCCACUACCUUCAGAACAUGCAGGAUAUUCGACAGCCCAUGUCCCGCCCAGUAAUAUCCUCUGCCAUGCCAAACCAGAGCGACAACCCCCGCACCGCCUCAGGUGCCAAACCCGAACAUAAUAAAGGAGCACCGAACGGAAGGCAGAUGGUUCUGAUUUCUGAUGAUUCUGAUUCUGAUUCUGAUUCUGAUUCUGAUGAUUUUUUCGAAGAAGAGGCUCCCCCCACACACUCCAAGUCAAAUGGGAAAGCUUCAUCUGAUAGCCUAAAAACUGGUGGAAAGGCUUCAUCCUUUUCUAAUGGAGAAGGUAGCAAAGGAGGGAAGGCAUUUAGUGCUGGGAAGGGUGGGAAGGGCUCCGCAUCAAAUGCAAAGCCUGCAAUGUCUGAUGCAGAACUAAAGCUUCAGCUUGAUAUGUCUCCAAAUUCUAUAUUGUUAACGAACUGUGAAGCAGCAGAAAUGUUGCAGAAAAUUCAGGGACAUAUGGCUAUCUUAUCAGAGGAUCCGAAGAUAAAAAUUCCCGAGUCGUUUGACAAGGCCUUUCAAUAUGCAAAAGAAGGAAAUCACUUCACCUCCGCGAAGUUGGUGAAAGAAAUCCUGGAACCCCUUAAAGACUAUGGUGUUAAUGAUGGCGAGAUAUGCAUGAUUGCGAACAUUGGGCCUGAGACCAUUGAAGAGGUUUAUGCACUCAUACCGUCUCUCAAGGCCACUAGGUCGAUCAAUGAAGGCAAGAUCGCAGAGGCCCUUACCGCCCUCGCUAACAUAAAAGCCUCCAAGUGA
RNAcentral lists this ribosomal RNA (1080 nucleotides) under Triticum aestivum (bread wheat). Its description in RNAcentral is "partial small subunit ribosomal RNA". Lineage: Eukaryota; Viridiplantae; Streptophyta; Magnoliopsida; Poales; Poaceae. The record is from RNAcentral.